GAUGAACGCUGGCGGCGUGCCUAAUACAUGCAAGUCGAGCGAACGGACGAGAAGCUUGCUUCUCUGAUGUUAGCGGCGGACGGGGGAGUAACACGUGGAUAACCUACCUAUAAGACUGGGAUAAAUUCGGGAAACCGGAGCUAAUACCGGGUAAUAUUUUGAACCGCAUGGUUCAAAAGUGAAAGACGGUCUUGCUGUCACUUAUAGAUGGAUCCGCGCUGCAUUAGCUAGUUGGUAAGGUAACGGCUUACCAAGGCAACGAUGCAUAGCCGACCUGAGAGGGUGAUCGGCCACACUGGAACUGAGACACGGUCCAGACUCCUACGGGAGGCAGCAGUAGGGAAUCUUCCGCAAUGGGCGAAAGCCUGACGGAGCAACGCCGCGUGAGUGAUGAAGGUCUUCGGAUCGUAAAACUCUGUUAUUAGGGAAGAACAUAUGUGUAAGUAACUGUGCACAUCUUGACGGUACCUAAUCAGAAAGCCACGGCUAACUACGUG
Molecule: ribosomal RNA, 497 nt
Filed under: uncultured bacterium
Lineage: Bacteria
Description: partial 16S ribosomal RNA
Rfam family: Bacterial small subunit ribosomal RNA
Source: RNAcentral